RNAcentral lists this long non-coding RNA (847 nucleotides) under Lynx pardinus (Iberian lynx). The record is from RNAcentral. Lineage: Eukaryota; Metazoa; Chordata; Mammalia; Carnivora; Felidae.
GCCGCGGGCAGCCUGGUGGCGACGCUUCAGUCGGUGGGUAAGUGUUGGGUGGGCGGUGGACAGGUCGGGGGAGGGGUGGGGGAGCGCAGGAUAGUGGGGAGAGGAGCAGAGCGAGGAGGGCGUUCACCCCAGAGGCUAAGCCUGAGGGAGGGCUCAGCUCCCUCCAGUUCCGUGGUUCUCAUCCUCCCGGGUCCUUUGUCCCUCACUGUCCUCUUUCUGGCUCCUUCUGAGUGAAGUUUGGUGAGAAUGGAGGGGUAAGGGGCUCUGAGAUCUGAGAGGGAGAAGAAGGGAAGGAGCCCAGGGCUCUGGGUACAGCCCUACCCAAAUCUGACACGGGAGUGGCCUAGGUGGGUCCUUUCCCCUCCGGGCCUCAGUGGCCUCCUGUGUAAGGUGAGGGGACCGGUUGCUCACUGGAUCUUUGGCUGACUGUCCUCUGUCUCUAACUUCCCAUAGAUUCACCCCCUCUCCUGUCUUUGCCACCUCCAGCAUCGUCUCCCCAAAGUGGAGCCCUGGGGGUUUCAGAACCUAGCGGAGGGAUCCAGGUCUCUGGGCCUCAGACAUCCAGAGGGGUCGGGGCCACUGGCCACUGCAGGUUCCAGGACUCACCCUCUGUCUAUUCCUCAGGGGCAGCUGGACUCUCCACAUCAUCCAACAUCCUCCUGGCCUCCAUUGGGUCAGCUUUUGGAGCCUUGCUGGGAGGCUCAAAAAAGGAACCUUCUUCCUCUUCCCCAGCAGAACCCGGGUCUGAAGGGGAACAGCCAGGAGAAACUGAAUCCCAAGUUCAACCUCCAAACCCCCCGCUCAGUUCAGAGAAACAGGAGAAAUAAAAAUCGUGUGUGGAUGCACC